CAGGAUGAACGCUAGCUACAGGCUUAACACAUGCAAGUCGAGGGGCAUCAGGAAGAAAGCUUGCUUUCUUUGCUGGCGACCGGCGCACGGGUGAGUAACACGUAUCCAACCUGCCCUUUACUCGGGGAUAGCCUUUCGAAAGAAAGAUUAAUACCCGAUAGCAUAAUGAUUCCGCAUGGUUUCAUUAUUAAAGGAUUCCGGUAAAGGAUGGGGAUGCGUUCCAUUAGGUUGUUGGUGAGGUAACGGCCCACCAAGCCUUCGAUGGAUAGGGGUUCUGAGAGGAAGGUCCCCCACAUUGGAACUGAGACACGGUCCAAACUCCUACGGGAGGCAGCAGUGAGGAAUAUUGGUCAAUGGGCGCUAGCCUGAACCAGCCAAGUAGCGUGAAGGAUGAAGGCUCUAUGGGUCGUAAACUUCUUUUAUAUAAGAAUAAAGUGCAGUAUGUAUACUGUUUUGUAUGUAUUAUAUGAAUAAGGAUCGGCUAACUCCGUGCCAGCAGCCGCGGUAAUACGGAGGAUCCGAGCGUUAUCCGGAUUUAUUGGGUUUAAAGGGAGCGUAGGUGGACUGGUAAGUCAGUUGUGAAAGUUUGCGGCUCAACCGUAAAAUUGCAGUUGAUACUGUCAGUCUUGAGUACAGUAGAGGUGGGCGGAAUUCGUGGUGUAGCGGUGAAAUGCUUAGAUAUCACGAAGAACUCCGAUUGCGAAGGCAGCUCACUGGACUGCAACUGACACUGAUGCUCGAAAGUGUGGGUAUCAAACAGGAUUAGAUACCCUGGUAGUCCACACAGUAAACGAUGAAUACUCGCUGUUUGCGAUAUACAGUAAGCGGCCAAGCGAAAGCAUUAAGUAUUCCACCUGGGGAGUACGCCGGCAACGGUGAAACUCAAAGGAAUUGACGGGGGCCCGCACAAGCGGAGGAACAUGUGGUUUAAUUCGAUGAUACGCGAGGAACCUUACCCGGGCUUAAAUUGCAGUGGAAUGAUGUGGAAACAUGUCAGUGAGCAAUCACCGCUGUGAAGGUGCUGCAUGGUUGUCGUCAGCUCGUGCCGUGAGGUGUCGGCUUAAGUGCCAUAACGAGCGCAACCCUUAUCUUUAGUUACUAACAGGUUAUGCUGAGGACUCUAGAGAGACUGCCGUCGUAAGAUGUGAGGAAGGUGGGGAUGACGUCAAAUCAGCACGGCCCUUACGUCCGGGGCUACACACGUGUUACAAUGGGGGGUACAGAAGGCAGCUAGCGGGUGACCGUAUGCUAAUCCCAAAAUCCUCUCUCAGUUCGGAUCGAAGUCUGCAACCCGACUUCGUGAAGCUGGAUUCGCUAGUAAUCGCGCAUCAGCCACGGCGCGGUGAAUACGUUCCCGGGCCUUGUACACACCGCCCGUCAAGCCAUGGGAGCCGGGGGUACCUGAAGUACGUAACCGCAAGGAUCGUCCUAGGGUA
RNAcentral lists this ribosomal RNA (1436 nucleotides) under uncultured organism. Its description in RNAcentral is "16S ribosomal RNA". It matches the Rfam family "Bacterial small subunit ribosomal RNA". The record is from RNAcentral.